GCUCAACGAAGAACCUAAACUCCUCUUCGGGUUCUGCUUCCAUAUUUGUUCCUUCUCUGUUAGCUUCGGGUUCUACUUCCAGUUUCGCUGGAACCGGCGCCAAGAGAUAUUUUGCAGUUAUGCUUCGACUGGCGAAUGAGUUUGAGCUUCGGCUGAAUGCACAAAAUAUCGAGCGAGGGAAUAGCGGGGAAGCUUGAUCGCAAAUUAGCGAGCAAAUAGUAAGCAUCCUUAAUAUCAUUAGCGAGGGCCUUAGCGAGGGAUUGGCGACGGAUUUUGCGAGGGAUUGGCGACGGAUGAAAUCCCUCGCUAAUUAGCUACCUGUAUUUAGCGAGGGAAUGGUCUCUCGCAAUUUCAUCACUAUUCCGUCGCAAAACUGAUUAGCGAGAGAUUAGAGAGGAAAUAGCGAGGGAAUAGUCCCUCGCUAAUAUGUAAUUUUCUUGUAGUGUUAAUUGUAUGAAUUUAGAAUUAAGCAUGUAAAUAACCAUUAAUA
This is a non-coding RNA of Cajanus cajan (pigeon pea), 490 nucleotides long. The record is from RefSeq and is a predicted model, not a curated record. Lineage: Eukaryota; Viridiplantae; Streptophyta; Magnoliopsida; Fabales; Fabaceae.